This 514-nucleotide ribosomal RNA is filed under the name Amblyomma sculptum. Its description in RNAcentral is "partial large subunit ribosomal RNA". The record is from RNAcentral. Lineage: Eukaryota; Metazoa; Arthropoda; Arachnida; Ixodida; Ixodidae.
AAAUUGUUUCCAUUUUUUUUUAAAUGCCGUAGUAUUUUGACUAUACAAAGGUAUUGAAAUAAGACUUUAAAUGAGUGCUAAGAGAAUGGAAUUACAGAAAAAAGCUUUUUUAAAUUUAAUAAUUAAAGUUAUUUUUAUUUGUGAAGAAACAAUAAUUAAAAUUAAGGACAAGAAGACCCUAUGAAUUUUUUUGAAAUAUAUUUCAUUUAAAUAAAUAAAUAUAUAUUUCUUUAAUUGGGGCGAUUAAUUAAUAUUUUGAACUUUUUUGCAAAAAUAUGAACCGUUUAAAAGCGGUAAAUUGUAAAAAUACUCUAGGGAUAACAGCGUAAUAAUUUUAGAUAGUUCAUAUUGACAAAAUAGUUUGCGACCUCGAUGUUGGAUUAGGAUGUUUUUUUGGCGAAGAAGUUAAAAAAAAAAGUUUGUUCAACUUUUAAAUUCCUACUUGAUCUGGGGGAUAACCGGAUUAGUUUGUUCAACUUUUAAAUUCCUACUUGAUCUGGGGGAUAACCGGAUU